CCUACGGGAGGCAGCAGUGAGGAAUAUUGGUCAAUGGGCGGGAGCCUGAACCAGCCAAGUCGCGUGAAGGAAGAAUGUCCUUCGUAUUGUAAACUUCUUUUGUCGGGGAACAAAGUCGGGGACGCGUCCCCUGCUGCGUGUACCCGAAGAAAAAGCAUCGGCUAACUCCGUGCCAGCAGCCGCGGUAAUACGGAGGAUGCGAGCGUUAUCCGGAUUUAUUGGGUUUAAAGGGUGCGCAGGCGGGAGCUCAAGUCAGCGGUAAAAUUUAGGGGCUCAACCCCUGCCGGCCGUUGAAACUGGCUUUCUAGAGUGGGAGAGAAGUAGGCGGAAUUCGUGGUGUAGCGGUGAAAUGCAUAGAUAUCACGAAGAACUCCGAUUGCGAAGGCAGCAUACCG
Molecule: ribosomal RNA, 395 nt
Filed under: uncultured bacterium
Lineage: Bacteria
Description: partial 16S ribosomal RNA
Rfam family: Bacterial small subunit ribosomal RNA
Source: RNAcentral